This 5029-nucleotide long non-coding RNA is filed under the name Marmota monax (woodchuck). Lineage: Eukaryota; Metazoa; Chordata; Mammalia; Rodentia; Sciuridae. The record is from RNAcentral.
AAGAUGACUCUAAAGCGUAGGGUAGUGUGACAUAGUUCAGAUUCCCCUUUUAGGAACCAAACCUGCAGUUCUCCCCAUCCACACUGCAAUGCUAGAGGGCCUGGGAGAGGAACAGGGAAACUGCAGGACUGACACCAUUUUGGAUGCAGCAAUUUAGAGACAUUAUUUGACUGAUAGAUUUUGAACAUGAUAGGUAAUUAGGAAUGUACUAAUUCACAAUAAUGCGGCCGGAGGCAGCUAGGGAAGAAUAGAGGAGUGUUUUUCUUCUGAGUAUGGUUCUGUGUGGAUAUAUUUAAAAAUUUUUUUUUUCGUUGUAGAUGGACACAGUACCUUUAUUUUAUUUAUUUAUUGUAUGUGGUGCUGAGGAUUGAACCCAGUGCCUUACGUGUGCCAGGCAAGGCGCUCUUGCAGUUGAGCCACAACCCCUGCCUGUGGAUUUAUCUUAAAUUGCUUCAUGUCUUUCAGAAUUAGAACAUUAAGAAAAAAGAAGAACCAGUCUAAUAUGAAGGUCUUUUAGACUCUAAAAUAUUUCAAAGGAAAUGUAGACACCAUUUUGCUUUAAAGCUCUGGUAUACUGGAGUCACAGGGACUUUGAAGUCAGAUCUAAAUCUUUAUUCCUUAAUAUCAAGCUCUGUGUCUUAAGGCAUGUUCCAUGGACUCUCAGCAUGUUGCCUCAUCUUUAUGGUGAUUGUACAAUCUCACAGGGUUGUCUGGAUUGAAUGACAAUCCAUUCUGCACAAGGCCAGGCACAUAGGAAGUUCUUGAUAUGUGGAGGGUGUAAGAAAAAUAUGUCUGGGAAAAGAGGAGCCUAUUACCACGUAUUGUAGUACAGCAUUUUCACAUCUGGGAAUUCAGUGCUGGACUCAGAUGUAUCCUCAGUUUCUUGAACCCAUAGUUUAAAAAGCUAAUAAUGAAAUCCAUUUCUUUUGAAGACUAAUGAUAUAAUGAUGACCAUUUUUUUUUUUCUUGGUAUUAGGGAUUGAACACAGGGGUGCUUUACUACUGAGCUAUAUCCCCAGCCUUUUUAAAAAAAUAUUUUAUUUAGAGAUAGGGUCUUACUGAGUUGCUUAGGGCCUCACUCAGUUGCUGAGGCUGGCUUUGAACUCGUGAUCCUCCUGUCUCAGCCUCCUGAGCCACUGGGAUUAGAGGCAUGCACCAUUGCGCCUGGCCUAAUGAUGACUUUUGACUACCCAAAAUGCCAGAUGGGGGCUGGAGUUGUAGCUCAGUGGUGGAGCACUUUCCUCAUAUAUGUGAGGCACUAGGUUGAUCCUCAGCACCACAUAACAAUUAAAAAACAAAGGUGUCCAUCUACAACAACAACAAAAAAGCUUUAAAAGAAUGCUAGGUGGAAGGUACAUCAGCAAAUGUAAGGGUCUCCACGGUGCACAGGUCGGAAGGCUUGGCUAUCACCCUUUCCACACAAUUGCCAUCUUUAUUUUAGGAAGAGUAAAGUUAAGAUGGGAAGGAGUAUCUCUGAGGUCAUGCAGCCACUUGGCAGCAGGACUAGAAAAAAACCCAAAUUUCUUGAUUCUCUGGUCACCAAGCCCCAGGGCCAUUCUAUAAAAAAUAAUUUGGAAGGUGAAUUUAACAAAAGGAACUAGUCAGGUUCUUGGCAUGUGGCUUUGCAGAGUGACUGGAUUUCACUUUUCAGGAGAGGUGGAGCCUGAUUGCUUCACUGGGUGGUACUGAGCUGUCCCCUGGUUCUGCUAUGAGGGCUCCUGGCUUCCUGGCCUGCCAGAGGGAAACUGGAAAAGCUGGUCCAAGAGUAUUAUUGCCCCAGUAGAAUUUCUGGAUAAGACCUUUUUGUACCCAAAUGGAAGACCCUGGGCCCCUUCUGAUACUAUUCUGAGAUCAGUUUCUCUAGUGAGAAGGCAGGCUCAACACUGGGACAGUGAAUGCAUCAGAAGUUCCUCAGAGCUGUGCGAUUGCUUUGAGAGAAAGUUGUGGACAAUCCUUACCACUCAGGUUCCCACAAGAGAGAGGUGGGGAAGCUGGUGUUCCGCAGUGUCUAAUCCAGCCUUUCUCAAACAUUUGUGCCUCAGGAGCCCUUUAUACUUUUAGAAAUCAUUGAUGAUCCCAAAGGGUUCUUGCUUAUGUACAUUUUACCUGUUGACAUUUGCCAGUUUAGAAAUCACAUUCACAUUAUUCAUUAAAAAAUAACCCACUGUAUGUUAGCAAUAAAUAACCAUAACAGAUAUGUUUUCCAAAACAAAAACCAUGUUAGUGAGGAGAGGAAUUAUUUGGCAUUUUUAUAAAUCUUUCGUAUCUGGAUUCUCAUAUCUGCUUCAGCGUUCAAUCUGUUACAAUAUCACGUGUCUUAUAAACUCUGGAAAACACUACAUAAGUGAAUGAGAGUGAAAAGGCAAAAAAAUUUUAAGUGUUAUGAACAUGUUUUCACUUCACAGAUCCUUUGAAAGGGUCCUGGGAAGCUCUGAGAUUCUCUAGACCACCUUUGGAAAAGCCACUAAUCUAUUCCAAGAGGUGAAGGGGGUAAAAAUCCUAUUGAAUGGUUUGGAGGUCAGGAGAGGGAGAGGUUAGACCCCCUCAAUUUGACCCACACUCCACAGAAAGCAAACUCAGAGGGUUCUAAUAGAUUAUUUUUGAGAUUCCUCCCAACUGUUAAAUUCCACAUGUGGCUUCACUUUAAUUCAACAGACACCAAACACCUGCUAUGGGCUAAGUCUCCAAAGGAUAUGAAGAUGAAUAAGACAUGGCCCUUGCAAUCAAAGAAUUUGUUAUGUAAUUGGGGGUCACAUAAUGUCAGGGCAAGGCCCGCUGCCAAAUGUCUGGAAAUGGCAUCAGGCUAGCAGGUAAUGGAGAAAGGGCUAAUUUCCACUUCCCCAUCAAAGGGAAAAACCAGAUGCAAUUUCCUUUCCUUUUGAACCAGCAUGUUGAAUAAUGCCCCACUGGCAUUCAAGGUCCCUAUCAUCAUUUACCUAUCUUUGAAUUAUUUGCUACCCACUUUACCUCUUGUAUGAUUGCAGCAUGUGUCCUUAGCAAGCUGAGAAUCCGCGAUGCUGAUCAGUUUGAAAUCUGGCUGUUCCAGGGCCUGCCACCUCCACAGCACUGAACUUUGUUCCUGCUGCUGCUGCCCUCAGGGCACUGCUGUCUGUCUACAAGGCCUUGCCAUGAGGUGCCCCUCUCCUUGACCCCCUUAGCUUUCCCACUGGUGACACCUUACUUCCCAGAUCUCCUCCUUGCCAAAUUAAGCUCUUUGAAGUGUCCUUAGCCCAUCUUCUCCCGAAAUUUCCAAUCUCUGCUGCUCACUGGCUGCUAAGCUUUUCUUCAUUCAGCUCCAUUGCUCCCUAUCAACCCUUUUCUUCAUUCACUGCCAAAACUUGUUGAAGGGAUGGCAGAGACCAGCCCGCUCCCUGGCAUCAUUGUUCCUGUAAACUUCUGCAUACUCCCUGUCCCCUUUACUCUGCUUUAUUUUGCCAACACAUUUGUUGCCUAUGUUCUGUACCAGAAUGGAAGCUCCCUAAAAGCAGGGAUUUUUGAAUUUUGCUUCCUGUUGAAUCCCCAUCAUCCAGAUAAGUGCUGGGCAUAUAGCAGGCCCUCAUAUUUUUGUUGAAAGAAUGAAUGACUUGUCUUUCCCCACUAUACUGUAACUCUGUAAGGUUACAGAGGCUUUGUUUUGUUCAUGUUUUACAUUUAUAUCUUCAGCACAAUGCCUGGCACCUAAUAAGGAUGUUUUGGAUUAGUGAAUGAAUCCAGUUCCAGAUAAAUUAUAUAUUUUGUUGUUGUUGUUUUGGGGGACACCAGGGAUUGAACUCAGGGGCACUUGACCACCGAGUCACAUCUCCAGCCCUAUUUUGUAUUUUAUUUAUUUAGAGACAGGUUCUCACUGAGUUGUUUAGCGCUUUGCUUUUCCUGAGGCUGGCUUUGACUUUGUGAUCCUCCUGUCUCAGCCCCCCAACCCCAAGCCACUGGGAUUACAGGUGUGGGUCACUGCACCAGACAGUUAUUUUCUUUUAGAGUUGCUUUUGCCAGGUGUGGUGGCUCACGACUGCAAAUUGGGAGGCUGAGGCAAGAGGAUUGAAAGUUCAAGGCCAGCCUCAGCAAUUUAGUGAGGCCCUAAGCAACUUAGCAACACCAUGUCUCAAAAAAUAAAAAGGACUGGGGAUGUAGCUCAGUGGCAAAGUGCUCUGGGUUCAGUCUCCAGUACCCAAAAAAGCUGCUUGGGUUGCUAUUGUUUAUAUAUUGUCCUUUGCAUCUUCCCCUUCCUGCUGUGACCUCCACCUUGGCUUCAGCAAUAACCUUCAAAGCUCUGCAGCUGAAAUCCAUCCUGCACAUGUUGCCACAUUACUUAGCUAAAAUAAUAUUCUGAUAUUGCUCUUCUGCUCAACAACUGCCAGUGCCUCCCCCUUGUAGUUUCUAAUGUAUAAAACAGACAUUGUUGCAAGCUGUUCAGAACCGUGGAAAAACUUUCUCAUUGGCGCAUACAGAUCAAUCAAGUCAGUUCAUGAUGUGCAUAUAUAUAUAUAUAUAUAUAUAUGAAAGAUAUAUAUAUAUAUAUGUGAUAUAUAAACACACAUAUAUACAUAUAUGUAUAUACAUGUUUGUUUGUUUUUUCAUAGAGACUGUAACAGCUCGUCACUGAAUUGUAGCUUAAACAAAUGUAAAACAAUGUUUCUAGAGGAAAAUGCUCAGGUUCAUUUCAGGAUGCCAAGCACAGUUCCCUGCCUGUAGGGAAUUCCCCCUCUAAGCCAAAAUUGGUGAUUCUUAUGGGCUGUGACAGCGGCUGUCUAAAUACACCUGACAUUUAAAGCACUUUCAUAUUCCAGUGUCAUCAUGAAAUCUUCAUGAUGAAAUCUUUACCCCAUCAUUCUAGCCAACAGUGAUAGUUUUCCUGAUCUGAAGUCUAGAUGGCUUAUUUGACAGCUGUUCUAUCUACUAUAUUAUCAUGUAUUUUUAAUUCCUGAGUAUGUCUUAACUCUGAAGAGACUGUAAGCUCUUGGAGGGAAAUGGAUCUGUUCUUACAUGCUGUACAAUCUGUGAGCAUUCAUUAAAUAGUCACUGUGUAAAUGGA